AGUGAACGCUGGCGGUAGGCCUAACACAUGCAAGUCGAACGGCAGCACAGUAAGAGCUUGCUCUUACGGGUGGCGAGUGGCGGACGGGUGGGGAAUACAUCGGAAUCUACUUUUUCGUGGGGGAUAACGUAGGGAAACUUACGCUAAUACCGCAUACGACCUACGGGUGAAAGCAGGGGAUCUUCGGACCUUGCGCGAUUGAAUGAGCCGAUGUCGGAUUAGCUAGUUGGCGGGGUAAAGGCCCACCAAGGCGACGAUCCGUAGCUGGUCUGAGAGGAUGAUCAGUCACACUGGAACUGAGACACGGUCCAGACUCCUACGGGAGGCAGCAGUGGGGAAUAUUGGACAAUGGGCGCAAGCCUGAUCCAGCCAUACCGCGUGGGUGAAGAAGGCCUUCGGGUUGUAAAGCCCUUUUGUUGGGAAAGAAAAGCAGCAGGUUAAUACCCCGCUGUUCUGACGGUACCCAAAGAAUAAGCACCGGCUAACUUCGUG
Molecule: ribosomal RNA, 492 nt
Filed under: uncultured bacterium
Lineage: Bacteria
Description: partial 16S ribosomal RNA
Rfam family: Bacterial small subunit ribosomal RNA
Source: RNAcentral